Mus musculus (house mouse) is the source of this 845-nucleotide long non-coding RNA. RefSeq annotates it as RIKEN cDNA 1700097N02 gene. The transcript has 4 exons. NCBI's taxonomy places the organism in Eukaryota, Metazoa, Chordata, Mammalia, Rodentia, Muridae. The record is from RefSeq and is marked validated.
GAGAGUUCAAAGGAAGUUGGGCGAGGCGCCUCACGCGCUGGCUCCUGCAAGAUGCUGCGCGCCCGCGGGUGCCUCGGGUGCCUCGGGUGCCUCGCUAUGGGGGCCAGAGCUUGACCAUCAUCAGGCGCUGGGAACACCACUCUGGGCCUCAGCAAAACCAGCAAGUACUCUUAAAUGGAGCUGGCGGGGUUGUGGAGUAAGAUACUCAGACGUGGAUUGACAGGUCUCACCAGCACCUGACAGGAUCCCGGCACUUCCCAGGUGGUAGCUUCUACAUCCGCCACUCCAAGCUUCGCAUCCACCACUCACUCGCCUGCCUGUAAACUGGUGGGAGGCUGUCUUGAACCUUAGACCGCCAAAGCAGGUCCCAACAGUGGCUGCUCUGGUAGAGCUGCCCCCAGUCUCUGCUGCCACUCGGGGCGCAGCCGUUGAGAGUACAAAGGAAGUUGGGCGGUGGCUCAGCCGUUGAGAGUUCAAAGGAAGUUGGGCGAGGCGCCUCACGCGCUGGCUCCUGCAAGAUGCUGCGCGCCCGCGGGUGCCUCGGGUGCCUCGGGUGCCUCGCUAUGGGGGCCAGAGCUUGACCAUCAUCAGGUUUUGCUAGAGCAUCCUGGGUAGAAUCAUCUUGGAGGAUGGGUCCAGUCCUGUAUGAUUUGUAAAGGAAAGAGUCACCUUACCUGUGAAUGUGCCAUCCACCUCAUAAAUAUCCAUUUUUAAAACAAGCUACUUAAAAUCCACAACAGAGGACUCCCUGUGCCGCUAUCCCCCCUUGGGACAAUCCACUUCAAUCUGUUUGGCUGGCUUGCUUUGCUUUGCUAAAUAAACUGCUUCCAUGCUGUCUCUUGACC